UACGAAGGGGGCUAGCGUUGCUCGGAAUCACUGGGCGUAAAGCGCACGUAGGCGGAUCGUUAAGUCGGGGGUGAAAUCCUGGAGCUCAACUCCAGAACUGCCUCCGAUACUGGCGAUCUUGGAGUCCGGGAGAGGUGAGUGGAACUCCGAGUGUAGAGGUGAAAUUCGUAGAUAUCUGCAGGAACACCCGUGGCGAAAGCGGCGCGCUGGACCACUACUGACGCUGAAGAACGAAAGCUAGGGGAGCAAACAGG
This 254-nucleotide ribosomal RNA is filed under the name uncultured bacterium. RNAcentral describes it as "partial 16S ribosomal RNA". It matches the Rfam family "Bacterial small subunit ribosomal RNA", at positions 524 to 776 of the family's 1533-position model. The record is from RNAcentral.